Molecule: ribosomal RNA, 955 nt
Filed under: Psychrobacter sp. m18
Lineage: Bacteria; Pseudomonadati; Pseudomonadota; Gammaproteobacteria; Moraxellales; Moraxellaceae
Description: bacterial SSU rRNA
Rfam family: Bacterial small subunit ribosomal RNA
Source: RNAcentral
GUGAAGAAGACUCCAUGGUUAAUACCCAUGGACGAUGACAUUAGCUGCAGAAUAAGCACCGGCUAACUCUGUGCCAGCAGCCGCGGUAAUACAGAGGGUGCAAGCGUUAAUCGGAAUUACUGGGCGUAAAGCGAGCGUAGGUGGCUUGAUAAGUCAGAUGUGAAAGCCCCGGGCUUAACCUGGGAACGGCAUCUGAUACUGUUAGGCUAGAGUAGGUGAGAGGAAGGUAGAAUUCCAGGUGUAGCGGUGAAAUGCGUAGAGAUCUGGAGGAAUACCGAUGGCGAAGGCAGCCUUCUGGCAUCAUACUGACACUGAGGUUCGAAAGCGUGGGUAGCAAACAGGAUUAGAUACCCUGGUAGUCCACGCCGUAAACGAUGUCUACUAGUCGUUGGGUCCCUUGAGGACUUAGUGACGCAGCUAACGCAAUAAGUAGACCGCCUGGGGAGUACGGCCGCAAGGUUAAAACUCAAAUGAAUUGACGGGGGCCCGCACAAGCGGUGGAGCAUGUGGUUUAAUUCGAUGCAACGCGAAGAACCUUACCUGGUCUUGACAUAUCUAGAAUCCUGCAGAGAUGCGGGAGUGCCUUCGGGAAUUAGAAUACAGGUGCUGCAUGGCUGUCGUCAGCUCGUGUCGUGAGAUGUUGGGUUAAGUCCCGCAACGAGCGCAACCCUUGUCCUUAGUUACCAGCGGUUUGGCCGGGAACUCUAAGGAUACUGCCAGUGACAAACUGGAGGAAGGCGGGGACGACGUCAAGUCAUCAUGGCCCUUACGACCAGGGCUACACACGUGCUACAAUGGUAGGUACAGAGGGCAGCUACACAGCGAUGUGAUGCGAAUCUCAAAAAGCCUAUCGUAGUCCAGAUUGGAGUCUGCAACUCGACUCCAUGAAGUAGGAAUCGCUAGUAAUCGCGGAUCAGAAUGCCGCGGUGAAUACGUUCCCGGGCCUUGUACACAC